This is a long non-coding RNA of Oncorhynchus tshawytscha (Chinook salmon), 2385 nucleotides long. The record is from Ensembl. NCBI's taxonomy places the organism in Eukaryota, Metazoa, Chordata, Actinopteri, Salmoniformes, Salmonidae.
GGCAUGAGGAGGUAGGCGAAUAAUUACAAUUUUGCAGAUUAACACUGGAGUGAUAAAUGAUCAGAUGGUCAUGUACAGGUUGAGAUAUUGGUGUGCAAAAGAGCAGAAAAGUAAAUAAAUAAAAACAGUAUGGGGAUGAGGUAGGUAAAAAUGGGUGGGCUAUUUACCGAUAGACUAUGUACAGCUGCAGCAAUCGGUUAGCUGCUCAGAUAGCAGAUGUUUGAAGUUGGUGAGGGAGAUAAAAGUCUCCAACUUCAGUGAUUUUUGCAAUUCGUUCCAGUCACAGGCAGCAGAGAACUGGAACAAAAGGCGGCCAAAUGAGGUGUUGGCUUUAGGAAUGAUCAGUGAGAUACACCUGCUGGAGCGUGUGCUACGGGUGGGUGUUGCCAUAGUGACCAGUGAACUGAGAUAAGGCGGAGCUUUACCUAGCAUGGACUUGUAGAUGACCUGGAGCCAGUGGGUCUGGCGACGAAUAUGUAGCGAGGGCCAGCCGACUAGAGCAUACAGGUCGCAGUGGUGGGUGGUAUAAGGUGCUUUAGUGACAAAACGGAUGGCACUGUGAUAAACUGCAUCCAGUUUGCUGAGUAGAGUGUUGGAAGCUAUUUUGUAGAUGACAUCGCCGAAGUCGAAGAUCGGUAGGAUAGUCAGUUUUACUAGGGAAGGCACGAUAGCUGAGGUUCAUAGCUAGGUUCUGAACUAAUAUGUAUAGCAAACAUUUGGGUCCAUACACAGAUCGGCUAGAUAGCUAGCUACACAUCCAUAGGCAUACAGGUACAGUUGAAGUCGGAAGUUUACAUACACCUUAGCCAAAUACAUUUAAACUCAGUUUUUCACAAUUCCUGACAUUUAAUCCUAGUGCCCGUCUUAGGUCAUUCAGGAUCACCACUUCAUUUUAAGUAUGUGAAAUGUCAGAAUAAUAGUAGAGAGAAUGAUUUAUUUCAGCAUUUAUUUCUUUCAUCACAUUCCCAGUUGGUCAGAAGUUUACAUACACUCAAUUAGUAUUUGGUAGCAUUGCCUUUAAAUUGUUCAACUUGGGUCAAACGUUUCAGGUAGCCUUCCACAAGCUUCCCAUAAUAAGUUGGGUGAAUUUUGGCCCAUUCCUCCUGACAGAGCUGAAGUAGCUGAGUCAGGUUUGUAAGCCUCGUUGCUCGCACACGCUUUUUCAGUUCUGCACACACAUUUUCUAUAGGAUUGAGGUCAGGGCUUUGUGAUGGCCACUCCAAUACCUUGACUUUGUUGUCCUUAAACCAUUUUGCCACAACUUCCUGACUGAUGUCUUGAGAUGUUGCUUCAAUAUAUCCACAUAAUUUUCCUGUCUCAUGAUGCCAUCUAUUUUGUGAAGUGCACCAGUCCCUCCUGCAGCAAAGCACCCCCCACAACAUGAUGCUGCCACCCCCGUGCUUCACGGUUGGGAUGGUGUUCUUCGGCUUGCAAACUCCAAGCUGUUUAAAGGUACAGUCAACUUAGUGUAUGUACACUUCUGACCCACUGGAAUUGUGAUACAGUGAAUUAUAAUUGAAAUAAACUGUUAACAAUUGUUGGAAAAAUGACUUGUGUCAUGCACAAAGUAGAUGUCCUAAUCAUCUUGCCAAAACUAUAGUUUGUUAACAAGAAUUUUGUGGAGUGGUUGAAAAACUACUUUUAAUGACUCCAAACUAAGUGUAUGUAAACUUCCGACUUCAACUGUAUAAGUAACAAAUAAAAAUCUUUCCAGUAUAAUUUAUUCAUAUGGGCAAAUAGAUUCCAUGGUAACAGAGUGAUGCUGAGACUCAGAUUUUUCACUUUAAAAAUGUAUGUCAAACAAAAACCAAUGAUUAAAAAGUUAAACAAACCAUACAACUGCUAUGCACAAGGACUACUUUAAAGGUCCAAUGCAGACAUUUUUAUCUCAAUAUCAAAUAAUUUCUGGAUAACAAUGAAGUACCUUACUGUGAAUUUAAAAAAUAAAAAAAAUUGUAAAAAAGACACAUUUCUCAAGUAAGAAUUUUGCUAGGGAUGUCUGGGAGUGGUCUGAGUCUGGAGGGGAAAUCUCAAAACUAUAAUUUAUUGGCAGAGAGGUUUGGAACUAUUUCUUAUUGGUCUAUUAACUAAUUUACUACCUAGUGAUGUCACCAGGAAGGCCAAAACUCCAUCCCACCAUAACAGGCUGGAAUUUCGGGCAAUCUUUUCAAACAGCUCGUACACUAAAAGGGCAUUAUCAUAAUUUCAACAAUUUCAAAGUAUUAUUCUAAUCUUAUAGUGUGGAACUAUAUAUAAAACACAGGAAAAUCAUGUUUCACAAUUUCCACAGAAGAUUAAACAGAAACACAUUUGCUUGACAAACAGUGCAGAUGCAAAGUUUGGUAACAGAAUGACGGCACAAAAUGAAUAGUCAUUCUGUUACCA